This is a long non-coding RNA of Oncorhynchus mykiss (rainbow trout), 5158 nucleotides long. The record is from Ensembl. NCBI's taxonomy places the organism in Eukaryota, Metazoa, Chordata, Actinopteri, Salmoniformes, Salmonidae.
GAGAGAUUUACGUGAUACACACCAGGUUACAUUUGUGUCUGCUCUUCAGUUUGAUUAGUGCAGUAAUGUGUGAUUGUUUAUAUAUUUUUCCUUAUUGAACAAGCUAAUUUGACCUGAAAUUAAGCUGCUCGUGGCGCAUCCAUAAGUAAAUGCUUAGAAAUAGAGCACCCUCUUUGGCCUUGUUCCACCUGUCUAGAUUCUACACAGACACACACAUACACAUGCUCACACACACACACGAUGAACGAUGUUGUUGAGGUGCUUGGGGGGGGGGGGGGGGGGGCGUGGUGUUUUCUCAGGUAACAUACAAAGAGCUAGGGCUUUUAGGGGCAUUGCACUUUGCUUGUUGAGAGGCAAUGAGGCUGUGUAUGGAUAUUGCUGUGCCACUGCUGGCUAUGGUGCACAUGACCUACAUCUGUGAAGCAGCUCUGCUGAGGAAAUCCACAGCGGCUGACUUCCUAAGACCAGUAAGAGAGAAGCGUGCUGCAGAGUGUUUCCCUGCAGGCUGCAGUAUGGAGGACAGUGAUGCUGAGGAGCUACUGGAGGCCAACUCACACUACGACAGUCCGAAGAUGCUGUUGAAUGGUGGCACUGGGGCAGGGGUGAACUCGAGUCCUGGUAGUGAGGCUACGGUGGAGGAAGGCUCAGGGAUGUAGCCCUGGGAUGUACUGUAGCAUCAUCAGGCCAACGCCAGGAGAGCUGCAGCAGACAGACAGGAGAUGCAUGGGUCUUAUCUAUAACGAAUGACAAAAUGCAAGGCCAAAUAUUCCACUUUAUUAAUCAUUAUCUUUUGGGAUGGGUGGAAUUAUAAAAACUUUAAAUUAUGGAAAUAUAGAAUUCCAAGGUCUUUGUGAAAGAUGGAUUUAUUAUAAUAUUGUUAUUGUCUCUGCUUUGUCAAACCAUUUGAUUUAUGAUUUGGGAGUCUACUAAGAUUUGUUUCACAGUACUUCUUGAUUUUUAACAAAAAAUGGCUAACACUUGUUAUAUUAGUUAAAUAAUCAUAUAAUUGCCUACCUUCAUAUUGGUGCUUCGUAAGAAUGGUGCUCAGUACCUCAUUUAUUUUGCAAGUUAUCUUUGUAGAAUCAUAGAUCUUAAACUGCAUGGGUACAGCUCUUUAUAAGCCAUGAAUUGUCCAAAGGAAAUAUUUCCCACUUUGACAAACUUGAACUAUGAGAAGUAAUUGAAGUUGAUAUACUAAAUUAUAUUAUGUGGAGCAAUGGAAAAUAUUUGUAUAAUAUUUUGACAAUGUACUUUUUGAAGAUUUGCAAACAAAAUGAUUUUACCAUUUACAACUAAUUUUACAAUAUUUCAUUGUAAUGUGCCUACUCCCAAGUCAAAAAUUAUAGGGAAUUAUCCCUGACCUGUAUCACCUGUAUUUAAAUAUCCAACUUACUGAUUUAGAAAUAUAUAGGCAGGCCUACUUUAGAAAUGUCUGUGUAAAUAUCUCAAUAAAUGCAUAUUUUAAUCAAUUGUUGUUAGAUAACUUUUGUAUAUGUGGUGUCCAAGACAUUACCAACAUAGAUUGGGGAAAUGAAAAUAUGUGCUAUUAAGUGUGAGGCAAUAUUAUUUCACAUUAAGAGAUCAAUGGAAACAGCUAUGUAAGCCUGUGAAGAGGUAACAUAAACAGAUAUCUGCAAUAUAGAAUGAACCAUCUGUACACCUGGGAAGACAAAGGGCCUUUUUGACAAAUGUGUCAAUCUGAACUAUCUGUGUAUAUCAAGACUCUGCUUCCCUCCUCAGGUAAAAUAUGAAACCUCAGGCAAAAGAUGAAACCAUGCUUAGAACCAUGACUCAGAAAGGAACAUCACAUAUUACUGAUUAGAUAGAGCAACUAUCCAAAACAAUACAUGCAUGUAAUCUUCAUUCCAUGCAUGUAAGAGAUCACUCGUUCACAGUGGAAAUUCCUUUUCCUACCAGGAGAGAGAAACUGCAUGUGAAUCUAAUUCUAUCUGCACCUGUCCAUUGUCCUCCCCAGCUCUAGCAACUCAGUGAAAGCAUGUUGACAAGGGGUGGCUAGGCUGGUCCAUACAAGGCUAUCAGGGAGAACUACAGUAUGGACACCAGACACCGUGUUCUGACACUGUUCCUACCUGUCCCUGGUGAGAUGUUGUUAGGAGAAGCCAGGCAGGGAAGUAUGGAGGUCUGUUAGCUAUACCGUGGGAGAAGAAACGCUCCAGCGAGUCGGAAAAUUGAUCAUGUCGAGAGCUGGGCUUGGGAAAGGAAUGGGAGAGGGGUUGUAAGAAUGGAGGUCUGAGAAAAAAGGAACACCAGAAAAACCAACAGCACAGACAAAGGGUACUUUGAUUUUCUAGAAUGUAAACUGCUGGAGCUAUUGUUAGCCCUCUGCUUUAGUGAGUUAGGGUAUUCAUCCUUGUAAAUAAGAAUUUGUUCUUAACUGACUUGCCUAGUUAAAUAAAGGUUAAAUAAAAAUAAAAUAAAAAUCCCAUGAGCUAGAUAGUAAUAUGGACCGGAGCACAUAAAAGGACGUUGUACAUUUGUUUUUUAAGUAAUCUUAUUGUCAUGCAGGAUCUUUUCAUGCUCAAUGUCAUAAAGCAAAAGUAAAUUUUAUUUUGUUAUGGCUCCAGAAAAACCAAUGGAUCAAUGUGACUGAGUGGGUUCAAACCAAGGUCUCCUAUGCACCACAAACAUUGGGCUCGUUUGAGUGGUAAGGCUGAAGCAACCGACUGCAGACGAGAGUCGAAGAGUAAUGUCGGGGGAGGUGCAUUUGCAACAGGAAAAAUGCAUCAUGGCAGUUUGCCGUUGUUUGUAAAAGUGUUUUCUUUUUCAUGUGGAAACCCCCAUAUUACACACUCACAAACUGUUAAUAUAUGUGUGUGCAUUGUACUUUGAAUUAAAUUGGUGAGCGAGCUUCACAUAUCAAAUUCAUUUGUACAUUGAAGUCUACACAUGAAUCGCGGCAAAGCUGGUUCCCGUUUCAGUCAAGUCUUUGGUCAAGCUCGCGUGAGUAAAACAAAAACACCCUAUAUAGAGCCUUCCACAAUGCAGGGGCUGGCUCCAGGAGGAAGUUAAUGAAGAGCAACAGCAGAAACUUGCAGUCAACUGCAGUCAAAACUUCAUGACCUUUGAUCACUUGGUUUUUGUUGUCAUGUAGACACAAAAUGGACAAUUUUUUUGGAAGGUGGUGACCGACUUUGUGUUAGACAGCUGAGCAAAAGUCUAGGGCCAAGAUUCAAUCAGAUCAAACGGUGUUGGCGGUGGAACUGCACUGGAGGUGGGAAAUUGGUGAGCAGCUGCUCUUGUGAUUAUUGUCACGAAGCUCCACUCGAGUUAGAAGUUCAGAACGAUAAUGUGUAGGCUAUAUAGAAAUAAUUAUGCUCAAAUGUAAAAAAUCAUUCAAACUAAAUAAUGAGGAUUUCUAUCAUCGUAAUCGAGGUGUACAUUGCAUCUCUCAUUCCAGUGUUGGAACUUGUGAACAAGGCUGCAUGGGAUUUCUGUUAAUGUGACUCCGUGCAGCAAAUGGCAAUGUCUGCUUUAGGUGUAAUGCAGGGAGCCACUUGUGGAUUUGACAGCUCUAAUGCAGUUCCACCUCUGACACCACCAAAACAACUGCUAUUCGGAUGUUGGCUAAAGCGGAUCUGAUAGAAUCUAGCCCUAGCCCUAACUGUGGGUGUGUUCAAGUGGUAAGUCUAACAAAGCCGACUGUAGACAAAAGUCAGUGAGUGAAGUCGGGGGUGUUGCAUCUGUGAUCAACAUAGCUGCUAUUGUUUAUAUACAUUUUUAUUUUGUUCUAAAUAAACUUUUCUAUACUCACAUAUCACACACUCACAAACUGAAAACAUAACGUGUAAACAAUUAAUUGGUCAAAUCUCUCUCAAAUGUCACUUUCAUUUGUAGCUUUAGAAUCGCAGCAAAGUUGGAUCAUGUUUCAGUCACGUCUUUGGCCAAGUUCGGGUGGGUCAAACAAAAACACCCUAAUGAUUGGUUGACAAACAAUGCCCACAAUUCAGGUGAUGGCUGCAUGGUGCAGGUGGUGAAAAGCAACUAAAGCGACUUUAAGGUGAUUUCAUCAAAAACAGCAUGAUUUUUGUAAAGUUCAUGCAGUCGACAUAUAGUCGAAAGUCAGACAAUACUUUUACCCAUAAUGCAACACACUUUGAAAGGCAGUGAUCAACAUCUUGACAAAAGUGAUCCACUCCAACGUGCCCUGUCUGAAAACCAUAUAACAUGUUUAGCUGCCAGUAGCUAGGUUUCCAUCCAAUUGGCAACAGAUUUUACUGCGAAUAUUCUAAAACAAUAUGCGCUUUUUCCACCAGAGAGGUGUUUCACCCCAAAAAAUUGCAGACCACACAACAUAUCAUCGCUUGACUCCAAAUUUACUUUGAUAUGAUGGUUAUUAUCAACUAAAUGUUUAGUUGUCACAUGCGCCAAAUACAACAGGUAUAAAUAGACCUUAUUGUGAAAUACUUACUCAUGAGCCCUUAACCAACAAUGCAGAAAUGUUUCAGAAAAGUAAGAAAAUUUGCUAAAUAAACCAAAGGAAAAAUAGUAACACAACUAAAUAACAAUAACGAGGCUAUAUACACUGCUCAAAAAAAUAAAGGGAACACUAAAAUAACACAUCCUAGAUCUGAACGAAUGAAAUAUUCUUAUUAAAUACUUUUUUCUUUACAUAGUUGAAUGUGCUGACAACCAAAUAACACAAAAAUUAUCAAUGGAAAUCAAAUUUAUCAACCCAUGGAGGUCUGGAUUUGGAGUCACACUCAAAAUUAAAGUGGAAAACCACACUACAGGCUGAUCCAACUUUGAUGUAAUGUCCUUAAAACAAGUCUAAAUGAGGCUCAGUAGUGUGUGUGUCCUCCACUUGCCUUUAUGACCUCCCUACAACGCCUGGGCAUGCUCCUGAUGAGGUGGCGGAUGGUCUCCUGAGGGAUCUCCUCCCAGACCUGGACUAAAGCAUCCGCCAACUCCUGGACAGUCUGUGGUGCAACGUGGCGUUGGUGGAUGGAGCGAGACAUGAUGUCUCAGAUGUGCUCAAUUGGAUUCAGGUCUGGGAAAUGGGCGGGCCAGUCCAUAGCAUCAAUGCCUUCCUCUUGCAGGAACUGCUGACACACUCCAGCCACAUGAGGUCUAGCAUUGCCUUGCAUUAGGAGGAACCCAGGGCCAACCGCACCAGCAUAUGGUCUCACAAGUGGUCUGA